UCUCUGGCUGUUUUGGGACUACAGUUCCCAUCAUCCCUGACCAUGGGUUCUGUUAGCUAGGGGUGAUGGGAGCUGUAGUCCAACAACAGCUAGAGA
This is a non-coding RNA of Podarcis lilfordi (Lilford's wall lizard), 96 nucleotides long. Lineage: Eukaryota; Metazoa; Chordata; Lepidosauria; Squamata; Lacertidae. The record is from the annotation of a GenBank genome assembly.